RNAcentral lists this ribosomal RNA (872 nucleotides) under uncultured Dechloromonas sp. Its description in RNAcentral is "bacterial SSU rRNA". It matches the Rfam family "Bacterial small subunit ribosomal RNA", at positions 28 to 896 of the family's 1533-position model. Lineage: Bacteria; Pseudomonadati; Pseudomonadota; Betaproteobacteria; Rhodocyclales; Azonexaceae. The record is from RNAcentral.
AUUGAACGCUGGCGGCAUGCCUUACACAUGCAAGUCGAACGGUAACGGGCCUUCGGGUGCCGACGAGUGGCGAACGGGUGAGUAAUGCAUCGGAACGUACCUUUCAGUGGGGGAUAACGUAGCGAAAGUUACGCUAAUACCGCAUAUUCUGUGAGCAGGAAAGCAGGGGAUCGCAAGACCUUGCGCUGAUUGAGCGGCCGAUGUCAGAUUAGCUAGUUGGUGAGGUAAAGGCUCACCAAGGCGACGAUCUGUAGCGGGUCUGAGAGGAUGAUCCGCCACACUGGAACUGAGACACGGUCCAGACUCCUACGGGAGGCAGCAGUGGGGAAUUUUGGACAAUGGGGGCAACCCUGAUCCAGCCAUGCCGCGUGAGUGAAGAAGGCCUUCGGGUUGUAAAGCUCUUUCGGCCGGGAAGAAAUCGCAUGGGUUAAUACCCUGUGCGGAUGACGGUACCGGCAUAAGAAGCACCGGCUAACUACGUGCCAGCAGCCGCGGUAAUACGUAGGGUGCGAGCGUUAAUCGGAAUUACUGGGCGUAAAGCGUGCGCAGGCGGUUUUGUAAGACAGGCGUGAAAUCCCCGGGCUCAACCUGGGAACUGCGCUUGUGACUGCAAGGCUAGAGUACGGCAGAGGGGGGUGGAAUUCCACGUGUAGCAGUGAAAUGCGUAGAGAUGUGGAGGAACACCAAUGGCGAAGGCAGCCCCCUGGGUCGAUACUGACGCUCAUGCACGAAAGCGUGGGUAGCAAACAGGAUUAGAUACCCUGGUAGUCCACGCCCUAAACGAUGUCAACUAGGUGUUGGGUGGGUAAAACCAUUUAGUACCGUAGCUAACGCGUGAAGUUGACCGCCUGGGGAGUACGGCCGCAAGGUUA